Molecule: ribosomal RNA, 497 nt
Filed under: uncultured bacterium
Lineage: Bacteria
Description: partial 16S ribosomal RNA
Rfam family: Bacterial small subunit ribosomal RNA
Source: RNAcentral
GAUGAACGCUGGCGGCGUGCCUAAUACAUGCAAGUCGAGCGAACAGACGAGGAGCUUGCUCCUCUGACGUUAGCGGCGGACGGGUGAGUAACACGUGGAUAACCUACCUAUAAGACUGGGAUAACUUCGGGAAACCGGAGCCAAUACCGGAUAAUAUAUUGAACCGCAUGGUUCAAUAGUGAAAGACGGUUUUGCUGUCACUUAUAGAUGGAUCCGCGCCGCAUUAGCUAGUUGGUAAGGUAACGGCUUACCAAGGCGACGAUGCGUAGCCGACCUGAGAGGGUGAUCGGCCACACUGGAACUGAGACACGGUCCAGACUCCUACGGGAGGCAGCAGUAGGGAAUCUUCCGCAAUGGGCGAAAGCUUGACGGAGCAACGCCGCGUGAGUGAUGAAGGUCUUCGGAUCGUAAAGCUCUGUUAUUAGGGAAGAACAAAUGUGUAAGUAACUAUGCACGUCUUGACGGUACCUAAUCAGAAAGCCACGGCUAACUACGUG